GUAUUAGCGGUUCAUUGGUAGAAUUCUUGCCUUCCAUGCAGGAGACCGAGGUUUGAUUCCUGGCCAAUGCA
Molecule: transfer RNA, 71 nt
Filed under: Loxodonta africana (African savanna elephant)
Lineage: Eukaryota; Metazoa; Chordata; Mammalia; Proboscidea; Elephantidae
Rfam family: tRNA
About the family: Transfer RNA (tRNA) molecules are approximately 80 nucleotides in length. Their secondary structure includes four short double-helical elements and three loops (D, anti-codon, and T loops). Further hydrogen bonds mediate the characteristic L-shaped molecular structure. tRNAs have two regions of fundamental functional importance: the anti-codon, which is responsible for specific mRNA codon recognition, and the 3' end, to which the tRNAs corresponding amino acid is attached (by aminoacyl-tRNA synthetases). tRNAs cope with the degeneracy of the genetic code in two manners: having more than one tRNA (with a specific anti-codon) for a particular amino acid; and 'wobble' base-pairing, i.e. permitting non-standard base-pairing at the 3rd anti-codon position.
Source: Rfam by way of RNAcentral